This is a long non-coding RNA of Equus caballus (horse), 2157 nucleotides long. NCBI's taxonomy places the organism in Eukaryota, Metazoa, Chordata, Mammalia, Perissodactyla, Equidae. The record is from Ensembl.
GGAAGAUUGCACAAAAGCCAGUUCCUGGGAUUUGUGCUGAAGUCUGAGUGGGCUGGGGUGUUCUCACCAGGCUAUUUCUGUAUAAAAAGCUGUCUGGAACCAUCUGAGAAUCCACUAACCACUGUGGUUUACUGUAAUAUACCUUCUCGUCACUCUCUGUUGCAUCAUUUCCCCUCCAUUUUAUGCUUAAGAGGAUGACUGUGUGCGUGCGUGUGUAUGUCCGGGUGAGUGAGGGUGUUGUGUGUGUUCCAAAGUUAUGUUACCAUGGAGAGUGAUUUGGAAAAGGCAUCUUAGGAACCACUUCAGCUGAACAUAGAAAAAUGCAUUUCAAAAAUCAAAGCUCCUCUUCUAUGCAUAGACUCUGGAAGAACACACAAAAAAAUUGGAGGAAAUUGAGAAUCUCUGAAAAAUCAUGGACUGACUAUGAAGAAGGGAUCUGCCUGCCUUCUUGGAUGCGCACCGCGUGUCCUCCAGGAUGCUGUCUUCACGCCCAUCCCUUGGGAUGGAUGAGUAUCACAGAGAAAACACAGCUGGCGGGGAAGGUAGCCGCCGCUGACUGCAGGGAGCUAGACAUACGCGUGAUGCCUGAAGUUGCCUGCCAGGCGAACAUGAAACAGCUCAUCCAGGUUGGACAGCGAAGCUCCGUACCUCGGCAUGUGGAAGAAUAUGAAACACUUUCAUGAUGUGUCUACACAUGUUCUGAUUCCCCAAGAGAUGAUGGCUCAGACUUCAGAAACUGUGGUGACCCUAUUAUGUAUUUUUAUAUUCUCUUUCCUGAGCUGAUGACCCACUUCCAAACCAAGAGUAUGAGUUACAAAUGAACAUCCCAACAGCAUUUUCUUUUCCAUCUUUACUAUACUGAAAGUCCAUUAGAAUAAAGGACGCCAACACAGCACCGCUCAUUGACCCUGGGUAUUCAAUGUGGCCUAGCUGGACUGUCCUGGACAGAGUCCUAUUCAUUGGAAAUCAUUAGCCAACUCAAGAGGGAGGAAAACGGAAUAAAAAAGAAAAACAUUGCCCAUCACGAAAAUAACUCGAGAACUGUGCACUCUGCCAACAUUGGUCAUUUGUGUCGAACUUGCUUUCAGCACUCUGUUAAAAAUACCACACCCUACCGCUGAAGCGACUGCUCCCUUCCUUUUGAAUAGCAAAGUAAUGGGAACUAGAAAAGCCUCUGUGGAUUUGGCAAGGUUUAGUAUAAAUGUUUCUAUUGAAUCUGGCAAAGAUGAGGAUGGGAUUUAUUAUGUUUUAGUGCUACCUGUUCCUUAAAGGCUGCCUUUUGGAGGUGAAGCCAUGCUUUCCUGUGCGUGAGAGAAUGCCUGGACCUAGUACACUUGGCUGACAAUGUAAUUUUGCUGCACAAGUUAUUGUUGUAUUGUUCCAAUACGCUUGAAACCAUCAUGGAACUUCAUGUAAUGCUGAAUGUUUUCCCACAGGAAAGACUUUAUUUUCCGCAUAGAGCUACCCAGUUUUACAGUUGCCUGCUGAGGACGCGCUGCUACUCCCUUGAACACAAUGGAGCAGAUGUUUCAGAGGAUUUCAGUGUAGUCAGGAGGAAUUUGCUGACUGCCAGCUAUGUGCUAGACACUUUCGUACAUCUUCGUGUGUUGUUGACAGCCACUCUGCAGGUCAGUGGCUGUGUCUUACAAGGGAGGAAGCUGGAGCACAGGGAAGUGAGCGACUUGCCCAAGGGUGCCUCGCUGUAAGUGACAGAGCCGGGAAGCACACCCAGGCCCUUCUGGCCCAAAGUGAACUUCUCUCCCUACAGCUGUGACACUGCCCUUGCAGGCAUCUCUGAUGCUGAAGGUGGAGGUGUGGCUCCUCGUUUGGACAUGGCUUACAAGGAGGCUGAUCAAACAGCAGCUUCUAGGGGCUGCCUGCCUUUCUUGGCUCAUGGACCUUUCCUCCAUCUUCGAAGUACAUCCUCCCAUCUUCUGGUUCUGUCAUCACAUCUCCUUUUUCUCUCUCUGACUCUGAUCCUCCUGCCUCCAUCUUACAAGGACCCUUGUGAUUACACUGGGCUCACCCACGUAAUCCGGAAUGAUCUCCCUAUCUUAAGAUCCUUAAUCACAUCUGCAAAGUCCCUUUGCUAUGAAAGGUAACACAUUCACAGGUUCUGGCAUUAGGACAUGGACAUAUUUGGGAGGUCGUUAUUCA